This is a long non-coding RNA of Melopsittacus undulatus (budgerigar), 493 nucleotides long. RefSeq lists it as uncharacterized. The transcript has 3 exons. Lineage: Eukaryota; Metazoa; Chordata; Aves; Psittaciformes; Psittaculidae. The record is from RefSeq and is a predicted model, not a curated record.
UCAGAGCCGUCUCCUUGCCCCUUCUGUCAGGCCGAGGUCCCCGGGCUCCGCUGUCCCCGGUGCAACAGCAGCCUUGGGGUGAUGGUAGCAGCCGAAGAACCCUGCCGCCGCUCGGCGGCCGGAACAGAGCGCCCUCCGGGCUGGUAUCACCGCCCUCGGCUCGGGUACCGCGACUCAGCCGGCUCCUGCGUUGUGCCAGUCGGCUCUUGGCCCAGCUUGCUUCCGUCUGGGAAGCUGCUGUAGCAAAGGUACUUUACUGGAGUUUCAUCCAGCUCUGGAGCCCCCACAACAAGAUGGACAUGGAGCUGCUGAAGCAAGUUCAGAGGAAGCCACAGAGAUGAUGAUUUCUGGAAGAGACAACAACUUUACCUCCAGACGUUCAAAAUCUGACCCAGAUGGCAGCUAUAAUUGUGAUGAGAGCACAGAGAAAAUGAACAUAAAUACGUCUAACUGUGUAAUAAGAAUAAAUACCUUGUCAAUUUGGUUAAUCUCA